This is a long non-coding RNA of Oncorhynchus nerka (sockeye salmon), 3324 nucleotides long. RefSeq lists it as uncharacterized. NCBI's taxonomy places the organism in Eukaryota, Metazoa, Chordata, Actinopteri, Salmoniformes, Salmonidae. The record is from RefSeq and is a predicted model, not a curated record. The transcript is spliced from 2 exons.
GAUAUAUACCAUGACAAAAACCUCCUCACCAAAUACACUCACUUCUGCUUUCAGAUGUUCUGAAUAUAGACACUAACUGAAUGUCAAGUCAUCCUGAACCAGUGUGUCUGCAGUAGGAGAACAUUCCAUGCUUGUGUUUUACACAAAACCCUUCACACAUUUACUAGAAUGUUGUCAUUAACAAUUACACCUAGUUGUCACAAAGCAUGAAUGAUAAAGUGAUAUUCCAGAAGGUUCAGUCCUAACAGAAGACUCCAUGUAUCAGAUAACCUCCAUGAUAGUCAGUCCCCUGGUUUACAGUAGAGACAUAUUACAUCAACAGUCAUUUAGUGAUGUGCUGUUAGUUCAGAACCCCACCAUCAGGUCCAGAUUAUAUUAUUAUAAUGUUAUUAUCUAUAUUAUGACAUGCUGAUAUAAACUAACGAACAUAAAUGAGAAGAAACAGAAUACUGAUCUUUACAAUGCAACAAAACAAAUCCAUUAUGUUUAUGAAAUAGUCUUCUCUGAAAUAUUUAAAUGUUUUAUAGUUUAAUAGUGACUCUAAUUGAAAUGAAUGUUACAGUUAUGAAAAUAUAGGAAACAUCCAGUUAUUAUUUAGAAAUCUGUCUGUUGGUCUUGUGAAGACCCAGAUACAGUAUGUUUGAGAGUAGAUAGUGAUUGGUUAACUGUAGAGGCCCCUCCCUCUGGUCCUCCCUGGCUUGGUGAUUGGUUAACUGUAGAGGCCCCUCCCUCUGGUCCUCCCUGGCUUGGUGAUUGGUUAACUGUAGAGGCCCCUCCCUCUGGUCCUCCCUGGCUUGGUGAUUGGUUAACUGUAGAGGCCCCUCCCUCUGGUCCUUCCUGGCUUGGUGAUUGGUUAACUGUAGAGGCCCCUCCCUCUGGUCCUCCCUGUCUGUCUCCUUAUAGGUGGGUCCUGCAGCCUCUCCUCUCCUCACACUCCAACCCUGCUCAUCUCUCAGCUGGACAGUAAGGGCCGUUCACACCUCACACUGACAACAUGCUGGGGACACUCUGCACUCUCAUCACUGCUCUAACAUGUGUCAGUGGUGUGACUGUGGUGACACAGAAGCCUCCUGUUGUGACGGUGAGGAAAGGAGAGACGGCCUCUCUGGACUGGAACCUGGGGACUGUUGAUAAUAGAGACGGACACUCUGGACUGUAUCCUGGGGACUGUUGAUAAUAGAGACAAACACUCUGGACUGUAACCUGGGGACUGUUGAUAAUAGAGACGGAGACUCUGGACUGUAACCUGGGGACUGUUGAUAAUAGAGACGGCCACUAAGGACUGUAACCUGGGGACUGUUGAUAAUAGAGAAGGCCACUAAGGACUGUAUCCUGGGGACUGUUGAUAAUAGAGACUAGGUCCAUUAUGGACUGUAACCUGGGGACUGUUGAUGAUAGAGACCACCAUUAUGGACUGUAACCUGGGGACUGUUGAUGAUAGAGACCAGGUCCAUUAUAGACUGUAACCUGGGGACUGUUGAUGAUAGAGACCACCAUUAUGGACUGUAACCUGGGGACUGUUGAUGAUAGAGACCAGGUCCAUUAUGGACUGUAACCUGGGGACUGUUGAUGAUAGAGACCACCAUUAUGGACUGUAACCUGGGGACUGUUGAUGAUAGAGACCACCAUUAUGGACUGUAACCUGGGGACUGUUGAUGAUAUAGACCACCAUUAUGGACUGUAACCUGGGGACUGUUGAUGAUAUAGACCACCAUUAUGGACUGUAACCUGGGGACUGUUGAUGAUAGAGACCAGGUCCAUUAUGGACUGUAACCUGGGGACUGUUGAUGAUAGAGACCACCAUUAUGGACUGUAACCUGGGGACUGUUGAUGAUAGAGACCACCAUUAUGGACUGUAACCUGGGGACUGUUGAUGAUAGAGACCACCAUUAUGGACUGUAACCUGGGGACUGUUGAUGAUAGAGACCACCAUUAUGGACUGUAACCUGGGGACUGUUGAUGAUAGAGACCACCAUUAUGGACUGUAACCUGGGGACUGUUGAUGAUAGAGACCACCAUUAUGGACUGUAACCUGGGGACUGUUGAUGAUAGAGACCACCAUUAUGGACUGUAACCUGGGGACUGUUGAUGAUAGAGACCACCAUUAUGGACUGUAACCUGGGGACUGUUGAUGAUAGAGACCACCAUUAUGGACUGUAACCUGGGGACUGUUGAUGAUAGAGACCACCAUUAUGGACUGUAACCUGGGGACUGUUGAUGAUAGAGACCACCAUUAUGGACUGUAACCUGGGGACUGUUGAUGAUAGAGACCACCAUUAUGGACUGUAACCUGGGGACUGUUAAUGAUAGAGACCACCAUUAUGGACUGUAACCUGGGGACUGUUGAUAAUAGAGACGACCACUCUGUACUGUAACCUGGGGACUGUUGAUAAUAGAGACGAACACUCUGGACUGUAACAUGGGGACUGUUGAUAAUAGAGACCACCAUUAUGGACUGUAACCUGGGGAUUGUUGAUAAUAGAGACGAACACUCUGGACUGUAACCUGGGGACUGUUGAUAAUAGAGACGAACACUCUGGACUGUAACAUGGGGACUGUUGAUAAUAGAGACCACCAUUAUGGACUGUAACCUGGGGACUGUUGAUAAUAGAGACAAACACUCUGGACUGUAACAUGGGGACUGUUGAUAAUAGAGACCACCAUUAUGGACUGUAACCUGGGGACUGUUGAUAAUAGAGACCACCAUUAUGGACUGUAACCUGGGGACUGUUGAUAAUAGAGACGAACACUUGUCGUGGAAGAUUCAGAAUUUGUUGGUAACAUAUGUAAGAUGUUUUAUAUUCAUCAAAUGUGUGUAAGUUACUUCUCAUCAGAAUGGUAUUUUUGUAUAAUACUGUGGCGGGGUUGCAGUUAUCUGUUCUAUGUCAAGACUAAGUUGCAUGGGCCGCAGAGAGGGGAGAGGUCAAAGUGUCAUCAUGUGUAAACAUAUCUUUUACUCCCUACCUUUUUCUAGUGGGGAAAGGAGGGUUGCAGUGUCUGGGAUCAUUCUCAUGCUCCCUUUUAUCUUAACCUAUAGCCUCAUUCUCCUCUCCGUGAGUUUGUAUUUAGAGUUGGUUGUAUCUAAAUGACCAUUUGAUAUAUGCCUGUUGAUAUGGAGGAUUGGUUUAUGGUUCUGAGUUUGAGAAAGGAGACAAAGCUGAACAAUGAAUUAUGCCGAUGCUGUUUUAUCCUGUGUAUCUUUGCUAUAAAGGAUCCCAUUUUGCCGUUAUGGGGGGACUCUCAACUUUUCAUUAGAGAUACUGAACUGUUGAAAGUCAAAAUGCUAUAGAGCUGAUAUAAUUAAAGAUGGACUUUGAUAACUAA